RNAcentral lists this ribosomal RNA (532 nucleotides) under uncultured bacterium. RNAcentral describes it as "bacterial SSU rRNA". It matches the Rfam family "Bacterial small subunit ribosomal RNA", at positions 8 to 526 of the family's 1533-position model. The record is from RNAcentral.
AGAGUUUGAUCCUGGCUCAGGACGAACGCUGGCGGCGUGCCUAACACAUGCAAGUGGAGCGACGAACCAGGCUUCGGCCUGGGGCAAAGCCGCGAACGGAUGAGUAACACGUGGGUAACCUGCCCCGAUGAUCGGGACAACCCGGGGAAACCCGGGCUAAUACCGAAUGUGGUCCCGGCUCUUGAGAGCCGUGACGAAAGGAAGCUUCGGCCUCCGCAUCGGGAGGGGCCCGCGGCCCAUUAGCUCGUUGGUGGGGUAACGGCCUACCAAGGCUCCGAUGGGUAGCUGGUCUGAGAGGACGAUCAGCCACACUGGGACUGAGACACGGCCCAGACUCCUACGGGAGGCAGCAGUGGGGAAUCUUGCGCAAUGCGCGAAAGCGUGACGCAGCAACGCCGCGUGCGGGAAGACGGCCUUCGGGUUGUAAACCGCUUUCAGUUGGGACGAAGCUUCGCCGGUGAACAGCCGGCUGGAGUGACGGUACCUUCAGAAGAAGCCCCGGCUAACUACGUGCCAGCCGCCGCGGUAAUUC